CGAGCCGGCCGGGUGAUCGCGGCGCAAGCUGAGGAAAGUCCGGACUCCGCAGAGCAGGGUGGUGGGUAACACCCACCCGGGGCGACCCGCGGGAAAGUGCCACAGAGAACAGACCGCCUCCCAGGAGGCAAGGGUGAAACGGCGGUGUAAGAGACCACCGCGCCUCAGGUGACUGAGGUGGCAAGGUAAACCCCACCCGGAGCAAGGCCAAGCAGGACGCCGUCCGAGCGCUGCUCGCGCGAGGCGCCCGGGUAGGCUGCACGCUGGUGUCGCAAGGCACCAGGGAAGGCGGAUGGCAACACCCGUCGCAGAUGGAUGAUCACCGACUACAGAAUCCGGCUUACAGGCCGGCUCGCCAC
RNAcentral lists this RNase P RNA (359 nucleotides) under Propionibacteriaceae bacterium. RNAcentral's name for it is "RNase P RNA component class A". It matches the Rfam family "Bacterial RNase P class A". From Rfam's summary of the family: Ribonuclease P (RNase P) is a ubiquitous endoribonuclease, found in archaea, bacteria and eukarya as well as chloroplasts and mitochondria. Its best characterised activity is the generation of mature 5'-ends of tRNAs by cleaving the 5'-leader elements of precursor-tRNAs. The record is from RNAcentral. Lineage: Bacteria; Bacillati; Actinomycetota; Actinomycetes; Propionibacteriales; Propionibacteriaceae.